This 984-nucleotide ribosomal RNA is filed under the name Escherichia coli. Its description in RNAcentral is "partial 23S ribosomal RNA". It matches the Rfam family "Bacterial large subunit ribosomal RNA", at positions 1917 to 2895 of the family's 2925-position model. The record is from RNAcentral. Lineage: Bacteria; Pseudomonadati; Pseudomonadota; Gammaproteobacteria; Enterobacterales; Enterobacteriaceae.
GCCCCGGUAAACGGCGGCCGUAACUAUAACGGUCCUAAGGUAGCGAAAUUCCUUGUCGGGUAAGUUCCGACCUGCACGAAUGGCGUAAUGAUGGCCAGGCUGUCUCCACCCGAGACUCAGUGAAAUUGAACUCGCUGUGAAGAUGCAGUGUACCCGCGGCAAGACGGAAAGACCCCGUGAACCUUUACUAUAGCUUGACACUGAACAUUGAGCCUUGAUGUGUAGGAUAGGUGGGAGGCUUUGAAGUGUGGACGCCAGUCUGCAUGGAGCCGACCUUGAAAUACCACCCUUUAAUGUUUGAUGUUCUAACGUUGGCCCGUAAUCCGGGUUGCGGACAGUGUCUGGUGGGUAGUUUGACUGGGGCGGUCUCCUCCUAAAGAGUAACGGAGGAGCACGAAGGUUGGCUAAUCCUGGUCGGACAUCAGGAGGUUAGUGCAAUGGCAUAAGCCAGCUUGACUGCGAGCGUGACGGCGCGAGCAGGUGCGAAAGCAGGUCAUAGUGAUCCGGUGGUUCUGAAUGGAAGGGCCAUCGCUCAACGGAUAAAAGGUACUCCGGGGAUAACAGGCUGAUACCGCCCAAGAGUUCAUAUCGACGGCGGUGUUUGGCACCUCGAUGUCGGCUCAUCACAUCCUGGGGCUGAAGUAGGUCCCAAGGGUAUGGCUGUUCGCCAUUUAAAGUGGUACGCGAGCUGGGUUUAGAACGUCGUGAGACAGUUCGGUCCCUAUCUGCCGUGGGCGCUGGAGAACUGAGGGGGGCUGCUCCUAGUACGAGAGGACCGGAGUGGACGCAUCACUGGUGUUCGGGUUGUCAUGCCAAUGGCACUGCCCGGUAGCUAAAUGCGGAAGAGAUAAGUGCUGAAAGCAUCUAAGCACGAAACUUGCCCCGAGAUGAGUUCUCCCUGACUCCUUGAGGGUCCUGAAGGAACGUUGAAGACGACGACGUUGAUAGGCCGGGUGUGUAAGCGCAGCGAUGCGUUGAGCUAAC